AAAUGUGAAAGCGAUCUGGCUGUGACAUCUGUCACUUCAUUGAUCACCAGUGUUGAUUUGGCUGACCUGGCUGUUCAGGUGGGUGUCCCCUUCCUCCCUCAGGGCUCUAUGUGUGUCCCUCCCAGAUCUGCAUGCUGGGUCAAAGAGGACAACCACCCCAGUAGCUGCAACCCCCUGCUAGAACCUCCAAACAAGCUCUCAAGAAUUUAAGAGAAGCAGAGAGGAGGCUACAAUCAAUUUGGUUUUGAUCAAUAAACACGUAUUGAGUGUGUCCUGU
Molecule: unclassified non-coding RNA, 277 nt
Organism: Fukomys damarensis (Damara mole-rat)
Lineage: Eukaryota; Metazoa; Chordata; Mammalia; Rodentia; Bathyergidae
Gene: 7SK
Rfam family: 7SK RNA
About the family: 7SK was discovered as an abundant small nuclear RNA in the mid-70s but a possible function has only recently been suggested. Two independent studies have found that 7SK RNA binds the CDK9/cyclin T complex (known as elongation factor P-TEFb).
Source: Ensembl